UACAGAGGUGGCAAGCGUUGUUCGGAAUUACUGGGCGUAAAGGGCGCGUAGGCGGCCUUCUAAGUCAGACGUGAAAUCCCCCGGCUUAACCUGGGAACUGCGUCUGAUACUGGGAGGCUCGAGUGCGGGAGAGGGAUGCGGAAUUCCAGGUGUAGCGGUGAAAUGCGUAGAUAUCUGGAGGAACACCGGUGGCGAAGGCGGCAUCCUGGACCGACACUGACGCUGAGGCGCGAAAGCUAGGGUAGCAAGCGGG
This 253-nucleotide ribosomal RNA is filed under the name uncultured bacterium. Its description in RNAcentral is "partial 16S ribosomal RNA". It matches the Rfam family "Bacterial small subunit ribosomal RNA", at positions 524 to 776 of the family's 1533-position model. The record is from RNAcentral.